GCCAGCUGUGUGGACUGAGACCCCUGAAACUAAAAUGGCCAAGAAAACAUUGCAACUCAUCCCUUCAUCCUACUCAAUAUGGGACRAGUCAAGAUUCUGAAGUGAGGUGGACUGAACUGACCCUGAGCCUUGACCCUCCUGUCCUGAUAUUAGAGAUAUUCAGWGUCUCCCAUAGUGGGACACAAGCUCAAGAACUUGGUCAAAAAAGGAAAAAAAAAGUCAGGGGAAGUUUUGUUGCAAAAAUGUUAGCCUAAUACUUUUAUCUUGAUUGCAACAGAAUAUUAAACUCUGUUCAAACACCAAAAUUAUAUGUCUAGUUAAAAAUGACAGAUGCCUAACYCUUGAAGUUGGAAGAUGGGGAGAUCUUUU
Molecule: long non-coding RNA, 369 nt
Organism: Urocitellus parryii (Arctic ground squirrel)
Lineage: Eukaryota; Metazoa; Chordata; Mammalia; Rodentia; Sciuridae
Source: RefSeq, a predicted model, not a curated record